Molecule: long non-coding RNA, 317 nt
Organism: Entelurus aequoreus (snake pipefish)
Lineage: Eukaryota; Metazoa; Chordata; Actinopteri; Syngnathiformes; Syngnathidae
Exons: 3
Source: RefSeq, a predicted model, not a curated record
CCUCGGCCCCGUUAGGCAACUGUUUAUUUACACUUAUUUUGAAAGGUUUAGAGGCAAACAUACUUCCUUUUUUUAAUGAUGCUACCUCACUUCACUUGACACUUAGGGCAUUUAGAGGAGUAAAUAUUGGAGGCACGUCAUGUCUUUACAAUUAAACAUUAAAUCCGUGAUAGCGUUGGAGUUAUUCGUGCAUCGACGCAGCGUUGGCUGCAGUGCAAUCGCUGUGCUGCAAGCGGGCUAAAAGAAAAGGUGGCUCACGAUAGCUCAACGUCCACCUCAGUGGACUUGGGAUGCUGCGAGGCCAGCGCACAGACGAA